GUGGCGUAGUGGUUAGAGUGUCUGCCUCAGAUGCGGGAGGUCGCAGGUUCGAAUUCCGGUCGAGUCA
Potamilus streckersoni is the source of this 67-nucleotide non-coding RNA. NCBI's taxonomy places the organism in Eukaryota, Metazoa, Mollusca, Bivalvia, Unionida, Unionidae. The record is from the annotation of a GenBank genome assembly.